UGAGUACGAGCUGCUACGGCAGCGAAGUGGGUGACGUCAAGCUUCCAAGAAAAGCCCUAUACCCGUUAAGGCAUGAUGGCCUGUACCCGAAACCGACACAGGUAGGAUGGUAGAGAAUACCGAGGGGCGCGAGGUAACUCUCUCUAAGGAACUCGGCAAAAUGGCCCCGUAACUUCGGGAGAAGGGGUGCCACCGCAAGGUGGUCGCAGUGAAGAGGCCCAGGCGACUGUUUACCAAAAACACAGGUCUCCGCUAAGUCGCAAGACGAUGUAUGGGGGCUGACGCCUGCCCAGUGCCGGAAGGUUAAGGAAGCUGGUCAGCGUAAGCGAAGCUAGCGACUGAAGCCCCGGUGAACGGCGGCCGUAACUAUAACGGUCCUAAGGUAGCGAAAUUCCUUGUCGGGUAAGUUCCGACCCGCACGAAAGGCGUAACGAUCUGGGCGCUGUCUCGGAGAGAGGCUCGGCGAAAUAGAAUUGUCUGUGAAGAUGCGGACUACGUGCACCCGGACAGAAAGACCCUAUGAAGCUUUACUGUAGCUUGGUAUUGUGCCCGGGCUCUGAAUGCGCAGGAUAGGUGGGAGGCUUUGAUCAACAGCUUGCGGGUUGUUGUGAGCCAACGGUGAGAUACCACUCUUUCAGAGCUAGGGUUCUAACGGUCACCCGUUAUCCAGGGGACCGGACAGUAUCAGGUGGGCAGUUUGACUGGGGCGGUCGCCUCCUAAAAGGUAACGGAGGCGCGCAAAGGUUUGCUCAGGCUGGUUGGAAAUCAGCCGACGAGUGUAAAAGCAGAAGCAAGCUUGACUGUGAGACCUACAAGUCGAACAGGGACGAAAGUCGGCUUUAGUGAUCCGACGGUUCUGAGUGGAAGGGCCGUCGCUCAACGGAUAAAAGUUACUCUAGGAUAACAGGCUGAUCUCCCCCAAGAGUUCACAUCGACGGGGAGGUUUGGCACCUCGAUGUCGGCUCAUCGCAACCUGGGGCUGAGGUCGGUCCCAAGGGUUGGGCUGUUCGCCCAUUAAAGCGGUACGCGAGCUGGGCUCAGAACGUCGUGAGACAGUUCGGUCCAUAUCCGGUGCAUGCGCAGGAAUAUUGAGAGGAGUUCUCCCUAGUACGAGAGGACCGGGAGGAACGCACCUCUGGUGUACCAGUUAUCGUGCCAACGGUAAACGCUGGGUAGCCAUGUGCGGAGAGGAUAACCGCUGAAAGCAUCUAAGUGGGAAGCCCACCUCAAGAUGAGUAUUCCCAUGGCAUAAGCCAGUAAGGUCACGGGAAGAACACCCGUUGAUAGGCUCUACGUGGAAGCGCAGUAAUGCGUGAAGCGGAGGAGUACUAAUAGACCGAGGGCUUGAC
This 1349-nucleotide ribosomal RNA is filed under the name metagenome. RNAcentral's name for it is "bacterial LSU rRNA". It matches the Rfam family "Bacterial large subunit ribosomal RNA", at positions 1564 to 2925 of the family's 2925-position model. The record is from RNAcentral.